AGAACACGUGAAAUGGAGAAUUUCAGGGCUAACAUUUCUUGUUUUGUUUCUGAAAACAUCGGCAUGUCCUAAAAAGUGUCGCCUGUGCCCAUCAUCUCACAGGCUUGGGAGCAGGACACCGCCGGCUCACUUUAAAGCCAAGGGAAAGAAUUUGGACAACAAUCUGGAGAAGACAUCAGUGUCAGCAGAGCUCCACUUUCAUCUGUGGGCGAAGGAUUACCUAGGUGCCAAGCUACCUAAAAGGGAAGGGCCCCUGUCCUAUGAUCACGUGACUUGCUUCACCUUGUCAAUCACUUG
This 297-nucleotide non-coding RNA is filed under the name Pongo abelii (Sumatran orangutan). The record is from RNAcentral. Lineage: Eukaryota; Metazoa; Chordata; Mammalia; Primates; Hominidae.